UACAGAGGAUGCAAGCGUUAUUCGGAAUGAUUGGGCGUAAAGCGUCUGUAGGUGGCUUUUUAAGUCCGCCGUCAAAUCCGAAGGCUCAACCCUGGAAAGGCGGUGGAAACUACCAAGCUGGAGUACGGUAGGGGCAGAGAAAAUUUCCGGUGGAGCGGUGAAAUGCAUAGAGAUCGGAAAGAACACCAACGGCGAAAGCACUCUACUGGGCCGACACUAACACUGAGAGACGAAAGCUAGGGGAGCGAAUGGG
Molecule: ribosomal RNA, 253 nt
Filed under: uncultured bacterium
Lineage: Bacteria
Description: partial 16S ribosomal RNA
Rfam family: Bacterial small subunit ribosomal RNA
Source: RNAcentral